Molecule: ribosomal RNA, 511 nt
Filed under: uncultured microorganism
Description: bacterial SSU rRNA
Rfam family: Bacterial small subunit ribosomal RNA
Source: RNAcentral
GAGUUUGAUCCUGGCUCAGGACGAACGCUGGCGGCGUGCUUAACACAUGCAAGUCGAACGAGAAUCUAUUGAAAGAGUUUUCGGACAAUGGAAGUAGAGGAAAGUGGCGGACGGGUGAGUAACGCGUGAGGAACCUGCCUUGAAGAGGGGACAACAGUUGGAAACGACUGCUAAUACCGCAUGAUGCAUAAGGGUCGCAUGAUUCUUAUGCCAAAGAUUUAUCGCUUCAAGAUGGCCUCGCGUCUGAUUAGCUAGUUGGCGGGGUAACGGCCCACCAAGGCGACGAUCAGUAGCCGGACUGAGAGGUUGAGCGGCCACAUUGGGACUGAGAUACGGCCCAGACUCCUACGGGAGGCAGCAGUGGGGAAUAUUGGGCAAUGGGCGCAAGCCUGACCCAGCAACGCCGCGUGAAGGAGAAGGCUUUCGGUAUGUAAACUUCUAUCAGCAGGGAAGAAAAUGACGGUACCUGACUAAGAAGCCCGGCUAACUACGUGGCAGCCGCCGCCGUAAC